This 69-nucleotide transfer RNA is filed under the name Bos taurus (domestic cattle). It matches the Rfam family "tRNA". Rfam says of the family: Transfer RNA (tRNA) molecules are approximately 80 nucleotides in length. RNAcentral also lists the same sequence under 1 other name. Lineage: Eukaryota; Metazoa; Chordata; Mammalia; Artiodactyla; Bovidae. The record is from Rfam by way of RNAcentral.
CCUGGUGGCUCAGAGGGUAAAGUGUCGGCCUGCAAUGCAGAAGACCUGGGUUCGAUUCCUGGGUCAGGA